This 468-nucleotide ribosomal RNA is filed under the name uncultured bacterium. Its description in RNAcentral is "partial 16S ribosomal RNA". It matches the Rfam family "Bacterial small subunit ribosomal RNA", at positions 28 to 507 of the family's 1533-position model. The record is from RNAcentral.
GACGAACGCUGGCGGCGUGCUUAACACAUGCAAGUCGAACGGAAAGGCCCUGCUUUUGUGGGGUGCUCGAGUGGCGAACGGGUGAGUAACACGUGAGUAACCUGCCCUUGACUGUGGGAUAACUUCAGGAAACUGGGGCUAAUACCGGAUAGGAGCUCCUGCUGCAUGGUGGGGGUUGGAAAGUUUCGGCGGUUGGGGAUGGACUCGCGGCUUAUCAGCUUGUUGGUGGGGUAGUGGCUUACCAAGGCUUUGACGGGUAGCCGGCCUGAGAGGGUGACCGGCCACAUUGGGACUGAGAUACGGCCCAGACUCCUACGGGAGGCAGCAGUGGGGAAUAUUGCACAAUGGGCGGAAGCCUGAUGCAGCAACGCCGCGUGCGGGAUGACGGCCUUCGGGUUGUAAACCGCUUUCGCCUGUGACGAAGCGUGAGUGACGGUAAUGGGUAAAGAAGCACCGGCUAACUACGUG